AGUAAAAUAGUUUAAUUAAAAAACAUUAUUUUGCAAAAAUAAGGAUACUUAAGAAUUUUUGCUU
This 64-nucleotide transfer RNA is filed under the name Achatinella mustelina. Its description in RNAcentral is "tRNA-Cys". Lineage: Eukaryota; Metazoa; Mollusca; Gastropoda; Stylommatophora; Achatinellidae. The record is from RNAcentral.